CAACCAAACGAAUUUGAGGAAGAACCUCUAUUUGGUUCUUCAAGAAAUGAAAAUGAAUUUUAAAAAUCCCAACACGUGGAUUAAAAAGACAGCUAAGGAGAGACUUUUUAAACUAGAAUCUCAGAAUGUUUGCUUCUGCUGGCUAACUUAGGGAUGGUACCCGUAGUUCAGAGCCAUGUUAAACUAGAUUUUCAGCUUAACGUUUUUUUGACCAGAGUGAUGUUUGCUGCAAAUUUCAAGUUCACUGUUAUGGUGAGGGGUGGUUCUUUGGGAUGUCAGCUUUAUGGGCUGGGGCCUCCUAUUUGACCCCUCUUCUUGAACAGGCCCUGCACUUUUUUCUCUAUCCCCAUGUGGACUUGAAAAUGGAAGCUCAUAAUCCUUGCCCUCAGGACAAAAGCUGGCUUCAGAGUUUUCUUUACCUCUCUGGGUUUUUGCUUGGAUAUUUACAUUUUGUGUAACUUUAGCAGCUGAUUUCAGCAGGCAAAUACUUAGUCUAAUGCUGCCAGAAAUAGGUGCACAACUUUCUUAUAUUCUUUUUUUUCCCUAAGAUUUUAUUUUUUAAAUAAUCUCUAUGCCCACGGUGGGGCUCAAACUCAAAAUUCAAAGACCAAGAGUCACAUGCUCCACCAGCUGAGCCAGCCAGGUGCCCAAUUUUCUUAUAUUCUUGACAACACUAUUUCCUCAACAUUGUUGCUGAAGAUCCAUACCGAGUUUAAGGUAUGUUAUAAUAGAUAUUUGGUGGAGGAGGGAUGGCAGCCCUUCACCCUCCUCACAGUAUCAUGACUUCCUUUUUGGGAAUAAAAAUAGAAAUUGCGUUGGUAUGAUCUAAAGUUACUAGCCUAUAUGUGGGUAGUAGGUUUUUCAUUUAGAAAGUAGUUUUGAAUCCCAAAUUUGAGGGAAUUUUUUCCCAUAUAUGUUUAUAUACUGAUUAAAUUUAACACUUAAGUGACUUUAGUAAUGUUAGAAUAUAUUUGUAUUGACCAGGACUUCAGUUGUUCCUUCGAGAAGAUCAGUUAUAAUUCUUUGUUUCACUUUUUCCAGGAGAUUCUGCUUUCUGCAAGAGAAGUGGGGUUCGGUUUCAUCAGGGGUGCCACUGCUAGUACCCAGCUAACACUGCUUCUGAUGAACCAGCGAGCCUGCAGUGCGGACCUGAGAACAGUUUGAGCAAGUUUCCAACGCUGCUGACACCGCUGUCCAAGAGCCACAACUUGAGAAGCACUGCCUUGGAGGGACUACCCCGUGGGUGAAGGAGAGCACCACAGCUAGCCAGGGCUGAGGGCACCGUCAGCAGUGGAUCCUGGAGCCACCCCUUCCUGAGGCCUCACCUCCACAUCUCCAGGCUCUCCUAGGAGCUUUGGGAAUUAGCAACUAACUGCAGGCUCCUGUGGGAGGAAGCCAGGCGUGC
Zalophus californianus (California sea lion) is the source of this 1405-nucleotide long non-coding RNA. RefSeq lists it as uncharacterized. Lineage: Eukaryota; Metazoa; Chordata; Mammalia; Carnivora; Otariidae. The transcript is spliced from 3 exons. The record is from RefSeq and is a predicted model, not a curated record.